This 253-nucleotide ribosomal RNA is filed under the name uncultured bacterium. RNAcentral's name for it is "partial 16S ribosomal RNA". It matches the Rfam family "Bacterial small subunit ribosomal RNA", at positions 524 to 776 of the family's 1533-position model. The record is from RNAcentral.
UACAGAGGUCUCAAGCGUUGUUCGGAUUCAUUGGGCGUAAAGGGUGCGUAGGUGGCGCCGUAAGUCAGGUGUGAAAUUUCGGAGCUUAACUCCGAAACUGCAUUUGAUACUGCGGUGCUUGAGGACUGGAGAGGAGACUGGAAUUUACGGUGUAGCAGUGAAAUGCGUAGAGAUCGUAAGGAAGACCAGUGGCGAAGGCGGGUCUCUGGACAGUUCCUGACGCUGAGGCACGAAGGUUAGGGGAGCAAACGGG